CGGACGGGUGAGUAACGCGUGGGUAACCUGCCUCAUACAGGGGGAUAACAGUUAGAAAUGACUGCUAAUACCGCAUAAGCGCACGGGACUGCAUGGUCUUGUGUGAAAAACUCCGGUGGUAUGAGAUGGACCCGCGUCUGAUUAGCUUGUUGGUGAGGUAGCGGCCCACCAAGGCGACGAUCAGUAGCCGGCCUGAGAGGGUGAACGGCCACAUUGGGACUGAGACACGGCCCAAACUCCUACGGAAGGCAGCAG
RNAcentral lists this ribosomal RNA (255 nucleotides) under uncultured bacterium. RNAcentral's name for it is "partial 16S ribosomal RNA". It matches the Rfam family "Bacterial small subunit ribosomal RNA", at positions 99 to 354 of the family's 1533-position model. The record is from RNAcentral.